Mustela erminea (ermine) is the source of this 104-nucleotide long non-coding RNA. RefSeq lists it as uncharacterized. Lineage: Eukaryota; Metazoa; Chordata; Mammalia; Carnivora; Mustelidae. The transcript is spliced from 3 exons. The record is from RefSeq and is a predicted model, not a curated record.
AAGGCAAAGAGAACUACAAAACAGCCAGAAAACAAUUAACAAACUGGCAAUAAGUAUAUACAUGUCAAUAAUUAUUUUAAAUGAAAAUGGACUAAAUUCUCCAA